GACGAACGCUGUCGGCGUGCUUAACACAUGCAAGUCGAACGGAAAGGCCCUGCUUUUGUGGGGUGCUCGAGUGGCGAACGGGUGAGUAACACGUGAGUAACCUGCCCUUGACUUUGGGAUAACUUCAGGAAACUGGGGCUAAUACCGGAUAGGAGCUCCUGCUGCAUGGUGGGGGUUGGAAAGUUUCGGCGGUUGGGGAUGGACUCGCGGCUUAUCAGCUUGUUGGUGGGGUAGUGGCUUACCAAGGCUUUGACGGGUAGCCGGCCUGAGAGGGUGACCGGCCACAUUGGGACUGAGAUACGGCCCAGACUCCUACGGGAGGCAGCAGUGGGGAAUAUUGCACAAUGGGCGGAAGCCUGAUGCAGCAACGCCGCGUGCGGGAUGACGGCCUUCGGGUUGUAAACCGCUUUCGCCUGUGACGAAGCGUGAGUGACGGUAAUGGGUAAAGAAGCACCGGCUAACUACGUGCCAGCAGCCGCGGUGAUACGUAGGGUGCGAGCGUUGUCCGGAUUUAUUGGGCGUAAAGGGCUCGUAGGUGGUUGAUCGCGUCGGAAGUGUAAUCUUGGGGCUUAACCCUGAGCGUGCUUUCGAUACGGGUUGACUUGAGGAAGGUAGGGGAGAAUGGAAUUCCUGGUGGAGCGGUGGAAUGCGCAGAUAUCAGGAGGAACACCAGUGGCGAAGGCGGUUCUCUGGGCCUUUCCUGACGCUGAGGAGCGAAAGCGUGGGGAGCGAACAGGCUUAGAUACCCUGGUAGUCCACGCUGUAAACGGUGGGUACUAGGUGUGGGGUCCAUUCCACGGGUUCCGUGCCGUAGCUAACGCUUUAAGUACCCCGCCUGGGGAGUACGGCCGCAAGGCUAAAACUCAAAGGAAUUGACGGGGCCCCGCACAAGCGGCGGAGCAUGCGGAUUAAUUCGAUGCAACGCGUAGAACCUUACCUGGGUUUGACAUGGAUCGGGAGUGCUCAGAGAUGGGUGUGCCUCUUUUGGGGUCGGUUCACAGGUGGUGCAUGCCUGUCGUCAGCUCGUGUCGUGAGAUGUUGGGUUAAGUCCCGCAACGAGCGCAACCCUUGUUCACUGUUGCCAGCACGUUAUGGUGGGGACUCAGUGGAGACCGCCGGGGUCAACUCGGAGGAAGGUGGGGAUGACGUCAAGUCAUCAUGCCCCUUAUGUCCAGGGCUUCACGCAUGCUACAAUGGCUGGUACAGAGAGUGGCGAGCCUGUGAGGGUGAGCGAAUCUCGGAAAGCCGGUCUCAGUUCGGAUCGGGGUCUGCAACUCGACCUCAUGAAGUCGGAGUCGCUAGUAAUCGCAGAUCAGCAACGCUGCGGUGAAUACGUUCCCGGGGCU
This 1346-nucleotide ribosomal RNA is filed under the name uncultured bacterium. RNAcentral describes it as "partial 16S ribosomal RNA". It matches the Rfam family "Bacterial small subunit ribosomal RNA", at positions 28 to 1381 of the family's 1533-position model. The record is from RNAcentral.